This is a microRNA precursor of Nicotiana attenuata, 138 nucleotides long. Lineage: Eukaryota; Viridiplantae; Streptophyta; Magnoliopsida; Solanales; Solanaceae. The record is from Rfam.
AAGAAAAGAAACCUGUGUUGGUAACCGCGGACAACUGCCCAAAGCACAUACUAAAAAAAUAAUAGCUCGCUUUUUAAAAUAUAUCCACAAUAUGAGUUUGGGCAAGUCAUCCUUGGCUACAACACUGAUUCUUUAUCU